GAUGAACGCUAGCGGCAGGCCUAAUACAUGCAAGACGAACGGUAAGUUGAGUAGCAAUACUUAGCCAAGAGUGUCGUACGGGUGCGUAACACGUAUGCAACCUACCCUAUACAGGAGGAUAGCCUAGGGAAACCUGGAUUAACCCUUCAUAGUAUUAUUGGAUGGCAUCAUUUGAUAAUUAAAACUGAGGUGGUAUAGGAUGGGCAUGCGUCUGAUUAGUUAGUUGGCGGGGUAAUGGCCCACCAAGACGAUGAUCAGUAGGGGUUCUGAGAGGAAGAUCCCCCCACACUGGCACUGAGAUACGGGCCAGACUCCUACGGGAGGCAGCAGUAGGGAAUAUUGGUCAAUGGAUGCAAGUCUGAACCAGCCAUGCCGCGUGCAGGAAGAAGGGCCCUUCUGGGUUGUAAACUGCUUUUGCCAGGGGAUAAAAUUUCCAUGCGUGGAAAACUGAAGGUACCUGGUGAAUAAGCCACGGCUAACUACGUGCCAGCAGCCGCGGUAAU
RNAcentral lists this ribosomal RNA (503 nucleotides) under uncultured bacterium. Its description in RNAcentral is "bacterial SSU rRNA". It matches the Rfam family "Bacterial small subunit ribosomal RNA", at positions 28 to 524 of the family's 1533-position model. The record is from RNAcentral.